CAGAACGGAAGUUCCUGAACUUACAAACCCGCGGGGAAGCAAGUCGGCAACGGACCAAGAUGGCGGCGCCCAGUGAGGGGCCAGCGUUUGCUUGGGGAGUAGAAAAUAAUUGGGGUGCGGUUGUUCGCUCUCCAGAAGGGACCCCCCAGAAAGUUCGGCAGCUAAUAGAUGAGGGGAUUGCUCCGGAAGAGGGAGGCGCCGACGCGAAGGACACAUCAGCCACAUUCCAGUCUGCUAAUGGAUCACCCAAAGCAGAACAGCCGCCAUUGGAAUCUACAAGCAAAGAAGCCUUCUUUAACAGAGUGGAAACAUUUUCUUCUUUGAAAUGGGCAGGUAAGCCCCCCGAGCUGUCUCCACUUGUCUGUGCAAAAUAUGGCUGGGUUACAGUUGAAUGUGAUAUGCUCAAAUGCUCCAGCUGUCAGGCUUUUCUCUGUGCCAGUUUACAACCAGCUUUUGAUUUUGACAGAUAUAAGGACCGCUGUGCUGAGCUGAAGAAAGCCUUGUGUACUGCCCAUGAGAAGUUCUGUUUCUGGCCAGAUAGCCCCUCUCCAGAUAGAUUUGGGAUGUUGCCAUUGGAGGAGCCUGCUGCUCUCCUUAGUGAAUUCCUAGAGCGUUUUCAAAGCCUGUGUCACUUGGAUCUCCAGCUUCCUUCCCUGAGGCCAGAGGACUUGAAAACUAUGUGUUUGACAGAAGACAAGAUCAGUCUUCUCCUACAUCUGCUUGAAGAGGAACUUGAUCACCGAACUGAUGAGAAAAGAAACACAACCAAAUUAGGCUCAGACAUCCACGUCCACAUCACUGCCUGUAUCCUCUCUCUGUGUGGCUGGGCAUGUGGUUCUUCCUUGGAACCCAUGCAGCUCUCGCUGAUAACGUGCUCACAGUGUAUGAGGAAGGUGGGGCUCUGGGGCUUCCAGCAGAUUGAAUCGUCAGUGACCGACCUGGACACAUCCUUUGGCCUGACCAGCUCCCCCAUCUCAGGCCCUGAGGGGAGGCCAGAGCGCGUCCUUCUGGUGCCUGAGUCUCCUCGGAGGAUGAUGACUCGCAGCCAGGAUGUCACCUUUUCCCCAGGCUCAGAGCAGCCUGAAAGGAGCCCAGGCCCCAUUGUCUCCCGAACCCGGAGCUGGGACUCUUCCAGUCCUGUCGACCGUGCUGAGCCGGAGGCCACCAGCCCCACCACCAGAACCCGCCCAGUGACCCGCAGCAUGGGCACAGGAGACACCGCUGGCCUAGAAGUGCCAUCUAGCCCUCUCCGGAGAGCCAAACGAGCUCGCCUCUGCUCUUCCAGCAGCUCUGUGCGUCCUCCUGCCCGUGGAAGCCAUGGAGCAUGGGCAGCCUGCCGUGCCCUCCCUGUGAGGCAGGGAGAGGCCGGCACGAGCCCUUCCCUGGUCCUGUGCUAUAAGACCAUGACACAUCUUCCCGAAGCUUCUUCGAUCCUACCUCUCAACAUAGAGAUUGGUGCCCUUGGGUGAACAUCACAUUUGGCAAGGAAAAUAGGGAGAGUAGCAGAACUGAGGGAGAUGCCAGCACCCCAGCGGAGCCAGGCUGGAGGGCAACCCUGAACAUCCUCUUGACCCACAAACAGUCCAAGCGGCCAGCUGAAAGAGACUCUGUGAGUCUCUCUGAGAAAUCAAGAAACGUAUUCCGAAUAUUCCGGCAAUGGGAGUCUUCAUUCUCAUCCUGAAGAUAUUCCAGACCUUCCUGUAGAGAGGUGGAAUGAGUGACUUUGUAAAAAAAUCUGAAUUCCCUUUUGGUCAGCUGAUGCUAAGCUUUUCUCCAUCUGGUGUAAUCAGAAAGAGCACCUGUCCUUGCAGAGGCUAUGCGUGUUCCUGUCUGCCUCUGACCAAGGGGACUUCCAUGUAGGGAUGAGGACAGGGCGAAGUGCAGCAAGCCUGGUUUUGUUAAAGGAGUGGGGUUAUGAAACUAGACUGAGGGCCAGUGACUUGAGCACUUUUAAUGUCUUCAGUGUGGGGCCGUGCUUUGAGGACUUGUAUCUUAGGAAUAUGCCAGUAUGUGUUAAUAAAAUUCUUGCUAAGAUUCUUA
Molecule: non-coding RNA, 2040 nt
Organism: Manis javanica (Malayan pangolin)
Lineage: Eukaryota; Metazoa; Chordata; Mammalia; Pholidota; Manidae
Source: RefSeq, a predicted model, not a curated record